GACGGUCUCAAAUUCGUCCUUUACUGUUGGCUGUGAGAACAGAGCAGGCUGGAGAGCCGUUUAGAGGUGGGAAUGUGGAGAGUGGGGAUCAGGAUAUCAUGUAGGUUGUCCUCUUGAGGGAGGUGCAUGCCAGGAGUGGAGGGGGAUAGGAUUAUUGGAUGGACUCCCUGUGACAUUGAAAACAGGCAGAGAGGUUUGUACUCAGUAGGGAGCCAAAGAAUGAAAUGAUGUGAGAAAUUUAAAAGACCGGUUCCUAGUUCAUUCUCUGGGUGUUCACUGAGCACUUUACAGCACACCAGGCACGUUCAAGAUGCUGAAGAUCCCCAUAAGCUUAAGGAUUUAUAAUUAAAUGAAUGAGAAGGACAAGGAAACAGUGUUGUAAUUCCAUGCCAUAGUCCUGGAGAGACAGCAGGGAGAGUGUUGGGUGGGAUUAGUCCCACUCCAGUGGCAGCAGCCGUAAUGCCAUGGAAGGCCUUCAGGUGAAAUAGUAUCUGAGCUGCAUAGGACAGGCUUGUUAGCAAAGUGAGCAACACAUGCAAACUGAGCUGGAGAGUAAGUGGGCAAGGGCUAUAGUGCAGGACAUGGUGGGACAUGUGAGGUGAUAGGUGAGGGUGAGAGGCGGGCCUGGCCAGGGGAAGAAGGGACUUACAUAAUACCAAUAACAGUGAAUUAGUAUUCUUUUGUUUGUUUGUUUUUUUAGUUUUUUUAAUUUAAUUUUAACUGGAGAAUGAUUGCUUCACAACGUUGUAUUGAUUUCUGCCUUACAACCAUGUGAGUCAUGUCUGUUUGUUUUUAGGGUGAAGCAAGCUGCAGGAGUGAAUGAAACUGUGAAAUGACUGAGAAGUUAGAAAGCAAAAGAAGGAAGCCUGAGGAGCCCCCUGGUUUCCUCUUAUACACAGAUAAUCAUCUCCUGCAUAUUGACCAUCUGCUGUCAAAGCAAAAUUCCAGUAGACCAAACUUUAAAUGCUUCCUUGCUGGCUCAGACGGUAAAGCAUCUGCCUGUAAUGUGGGAGACCUGGGUUCAGUCCCUGGGUCGGGAACAUCCCCUGGAAAAGGAAAUGGCAACCCACUCCAGUAUCCUUGCCUGGAAAAUCCCGUGGAUGGAGGAGGCUGGUAGGCUACAGUCCACGGGGUUGCAAAGAGUCGGACAUGACUGAGCAACUUUAAACUUUAAAUCUUCAUACCAAGAACAAAUCCAAAUGUGGAGCAGGGCUGCUGUGCUGCUGGGCCUUCUACUACCAAGUGCUGAAGGACCUCAUGCCAGGGAAUUAUGGUCACUGAUUUCAUGGCGCCAUCAACCAAGAGCAGAGAAAUAUCAGCGAAGUCUCCCCUUCACAGGGCUGCGAGAAUGAGGCCAACACAUAUCAGAUGCUGGGGGGUAUGGGGCGUGUGUGUGUAUGUGUGUGUGUGUGAAAGAGAGAGAGAAAGAGAGCCCGUGCAUGAGUUGCUGUGGAGUUCCUGCAUCAAGUCUACCCCCAGGCCUGCUCUAAACUCUACUUUUCAUGGUUUGAUGGUUUGUUUAUAUGAACAUGUAAUUUCCUCUUUUUGGCUUAAGCUGCUUGAGUUGAGUUUCUCAUAAUUAAGAAUCCUGACUGGAAUACAUUUUUGUGUCUAAAACUUUUUUUCUAUUUCAAAUUAUUUCCUCAGCAUAUAUUCUUUGAAGGGAAAGUAAAAGGUUCAAAAUAAUCACCAAGUUAUACCAUAUCUAGAAAAGUAUACCUUAUUUCACUAUACUCUUUUAAGUAUUGAGUAAUAUAAUUUUUAAGCCUUUGUUAAUUUCUUAGGUUAAAAAAAUAUUGUUUAAAGUUACUUGUUUUUAAAUGUUAGUUGAAAAUAUUCCAAUUCUAUCUGUUUUAUACCUUUUUUUGGCAAAUCGUCUAAUUAUAUCUUUAACCUGUUGUCUUUAUUGGGGUUCAAAUGUCUUUGCUUUUGUAAAAAUCAAUUUUUAUUCAUUGUCUCCAGGUAAAGCCUAUUAAUUUGCCUGUCAUAUUUAUCUCAAAUAUUUUUCCUAGCUUGGUUGCUUGCUUUGAAUUCUGUUCAUUAUUCUUUUGGAGUUACAGAAAUUAUAAGAUGUUACGUAGUCAAGUUGGCAUUUUCUUUUACAGCUCUUUGAUUUAGCAGAAAAUAAAGGAGACCUAUUUUCUGUUCUUUAGUCUUUAUGUGGUGGCUACAGAAAAAAAUUUUUUUAAAGAAAUGACUUUUUAAAAUAGAGUAACAGUGAAGAAUGUGGCAGCCAUGGAGGCUCUGCUUGGAGCUCACUUGAAGAAGGAGAUCACCUUUCAUCUGUGAGGAGUGCAGUGAGCUGACCCUCUCUAGUUGCAACACCAGAGGAUCUGCUACAAUGUUUGAAACCACCCUCUUCCCAGGCAGCUCCCAGCCAAUGACUGAUCACAGCAGAGGGACUUGACCUGGCCUUUGCUGGUCGAUUGCUCUAUGAGCCAUCUGUGUGCUGGACUGCAUUGUCAGAUGAUGUGAAACUUCUCAGAGCUGCACUGCAACCUGAAGCUCUUUCUCCCAAUCUCCCUUCCUCCCGCCGCUCUUCUUUCACGGGUGCCAGACCAACACUGCGGUCUGAAGGUUCCCCCUGCCUAUUCCUGCUCUUUUUGCCCUUCUCACAAGUAUUACCUGCAACAAGUAAUACUUUUCACAAGUAUUACCUGCAACAAAUCUUUGGCAUCUUUAUCUUUGUUAUGACAUGUGCUUCCUAGAGAACAUAAAUGACAGUUAUUAUUUAAAAAAUGAAGUGAUUCAGAGAAAUACAACAGAGAAAAGAACAAAUCAAAAGUAUGAGGACCACAGAAGACUCGGAAGUGAAGAGCAAGUAUGAGUAGCCGCACAUCCUGUCAGAUGGAGGCCUGCUACCCGCUCUCAGCAACUUCUCACCUGAUCCCCGUUUUUGUUUAGCUGGUCUUCUCCUUGUUGACAGAGCCUUUUUGCCACCAAAGGGACUAACUGCUGAAUUUUAAUAUCAGCUUCCCUUGCAAUGAGAAUCUGGAUAUAUGAGAUAUAAAAGGAAAUGUGUUGAGUAUCUAGGAAAUAUUUUAUUUUUUUCUUUAAUAAGAGAGAGACAAGCAGGAAUAGAGCCCACCCCCCUCACUUUCUUCCUGUCUUUGAACAUUGAUGUGCGAGAAUGUGAUGCCUGGAGUUGUGGCAGUCAUCUUGCAACCAUGAGGGGAAAGUAGAUAGAAGCUCAUAAAAGUGACUUGAUGUCAUCAGAUCACUGCAUCUAUCAACUCUGGAAUCAUCUAAUAGAAUAAUAGAAUGUUACCACUUGCUCUGGAAUGUGUCUUGUGUCUGUUACAUGCAGCCAAAACCAUAUUACCUGAUACACUUUCUAAAUUUGCCUUUGCCUCUUUCUGCUCUUUGUCAUAUAACCCAUUUCUAGUUGAUAGUUCCACUUUGAAUGUCUCAGUGGCUUAGUUGGAGAAGGAAAUGGCAACCCACUCCAGUAUUCUUGCCUGGAGAAUCCCGUGGACAGAGGGGCCUGAUGGGCUGCUGUCCAUGGGGUUGCACAGAGUCAGA
Molecule: long non-coding RNA, 3522 nt
Organism: Bubalus bubalis (water buffalo)
Lineage: Eukaryota; Metazoa; Chordata; Mammalia; Artiodactyla; Bovidae
Exons: 4
Source: RefSeq, a predicted model, not a curated record